AGAUAAUUGUGUCUUGUACUGGAUGGCUAGACACUCAAAGCUACGGCGCCUAAGGAUGAGUCUGCGUCCGAUUAUGCUAGUUGGUGGUGUCACGGACCACCAAGGCGACGAUCGGUACGGGCCAUGAGAGUGGUAGCCCGGAGAUGGCCACUGAGACAACGGGCCAGGCCCUAUGGGGUGCAGCAGGCGCGAAAACUGGCCAAUGCGCGAAAGCGUGAGCCGGCCAAUCCGAGUGUAGGCCCAUCGGCCUACUUUUGUCAAGUGUACAACGCUUGGCGAAUAACGAGAGGGCAAGACUGGUGCCAGCCGCCGCGGUAAAACCAGCUCUUGGAGUGGUGAUCAUGAUUAUUUGGCUUAAAGUGUGCGUAGCAGGACAGCGUAAGUCCCCUGUGAAAUGCUAGGUCUUAAGCUUAGCACGUGCCGGGGAUACUGCGCGUCUUGGGACCGGGAUAGGUGUAAUGUACGGUUUGGGUGGGGGUGAAAUCCGAUAAUCCAAGCCGGACAACCGGUGGCGAAGGCGUUACACUGGAACGGGUCCGACUGUGAGGCACGAAAGCUAGGGUCGCGAGCCGGAUUAGAUACCCGGGUAGUCCUAUGCUGUAAACGAUGCUCAUUAAGUGUUAGGUAAUGCAAGACAUUCCCUAGUGCCG
This 650-nucleotide ribosomal RNA is filed under the name uncultured archaeon. RNAcentral's name for it is "bacterial SSU rRNA". It matches the Rfam family "Archaeal small subunit ribosomal RNA", at positions 152 to 803 of the family's 1478-position model. The record is from RNAcentral.